RNAcentral lists this ribosomal RNA (732 nucleotides) under uncultured Acidobacteriota bacterium. Its description in RNAcentral is "bacterial SSU rRNA". It matches the Rfam family "Bacterial small subunit ribosomal RNA", at positions 68 to 782 of the family's 1533-position model. The record is from RNAcentral. Lineage: Bacteria; Pseudomonadati; Acidobacteriota.
GUGAAGUUCCUUCGGGGAUGAGUAAAGUGGCGCACGGGUGAGUAACACGUGGGUAAUUUGCCUUCGGGUGGGGAAUACCAACCGGAAACGGUUGUUAAUACCGCAUGAUGCAGCGGCACCGCAAGGUGACAGUUGUUAAAGCGGGGGAUCGCAAGACCUCGCGCCUGAAGAGAAGCCCGCGGCAGAUUAGGUAGUUGGUGAGGUAAUGGCUCACCAAGCCCGCGAUCUGUAACCGGCCUGAGAGGGCGGUCGGUCACACUGACACUGACAUACGGGUCAGACUCCUACGGGAGGCAGCAGUCGGGAAUUUUGGGCAAUGGGCGCAAGCCUGACCCAGCAACGCCGCGUGAAGGAUGAAGCAUUUCGGUGUGUAAACUUCGCAAGAAUAGGAAGAAUAAGCGACGGUUAACAACCAGCGCGAUGACGGUACUAUUUGUAAGCCCCGGCUAACUCCGUGCCAGCAGCCGCGGUAAUACGGGGGGGGCAAGCGUUGUUCGGAUUUACUGGGCGUAAAGGGUGCGUAGGCGGCACCACAAGUCACUUGUGAAAUCUUUGGGCUUAACCCAAAGCGGUCAAGUGAUACUGUGGAGCUAGAGUGCAGAAGGGGCAACUGGAAUUCUCGGUGUAGCGGUGAAAUGCGUAGAUAUCGAGAGGAACACCUGCGGCGAAGGCGGGUUGCUGGGCUGACACUGACGCUGAGGCACGAAAGCUAGGGUAGCAAACGGGAUUAGA